GGUAGAUUUAGCGGUAAAUUCGUAUAAAUUCUUGCAGGUGCCCCGAGGAAGUGUCCAACAAGUAUCAGGUGUCCCAAAGUGUGUCAAUGAAACCCAGCGACGAACUCGGGGAGGAAUAUUUCGUAGAUUGUACGAGCUUCAAACAAUUUCGAACAAUCUCCGGCGAUUACCGAGAGCACGCAGCGCGUCCAUGGGGACUGACAGCGUUUAGAUGGGAACCCCAUAGCCGUGGGAAAGUCCAGCUCGCAGAAACCAGUGCUGCGGGAAACAGUGCAAACAGAAAGGACGAGACAGCGCGGAAAGAAAGGGAAAAUGGCAGACGGCGCCGGGACAGAAGUAGUAUUAAUUUCCUCGAGCCCGGAGGUCCUGGCACAUCAUUCUCCGGCAGACAGCCAGGAAAGACGAGCACCGCCGACCUCCCUUUCCCGCUUCCCUUCGACCGGGGCCCGUGUGUGUGUCUGCCUUCCCGAUAUUGCCAGCGUCGCUGCGACGCGCUGUCUGCAAUUCCCUCGGCUCAAAGCCAACGGUGCCUCUUGUUUUCCCCCGCGAAACAGGCCAACUUUUCGCGCAACAACCACUCGAAGAUCAUUCUUUGAUCGCGGCACCGGAGAAUCGUUUUAUUCGGCUCGGGGACCGACGAGGCUCCGACGAGGCUUCGACGAGGACAGGAACUUCUAUGUAGGUGAACAGCAUGCUGGAUCAGAUCUGGAGAAGUCCAGUUGCCCUGAGAAGUCAACGAAACGACGAACGAUGAGCACCAACUUUGGGCCCGGACGAAUUUUGCACGGCAAAGGUAGACGAUGAAGUCGAGCAGACCAGAGAACGAUUUGGAAGAGCAAUUCGAGGAUUCUUAGGAUUAAUCGAACGUGGGAGAUCGAGCGACGAAUGACCGAUCGAAUUAAUUUUUGCACAUCACAAUAAGCGAUCCAUUGUGCCAGGAUCCCCUUUUCUGAUCAUUUCUGAUGAAAGCACAGGAUUUAGACUGUCUAGAAAAUGGGCCGAAAAAUAAAUUAGAUUCGACAUUGAAUCAAACAGCGAAGCCUCGACGAAGAAUUACUCGGAUUCCAAUUAAUUUUUGCACAUCGCAAUAAGGGAUCCAUUAUGCUAGGGAUCCCCUUUCUGAUAAUUUCUGAUGAACGCACAGGAUUAAGACUAGACUGUCUAGAAAAUGGGCCAGAAAAUAAAUUAGAUUCGACAUUGAAUCAAACAGCGAA
Molecule: long non-coding RNA, 1214 nt
Organism: Megalopta genalis
Lineage: Eukaryota; Metazoa; Arthropoda; Insecta; Hymenoptera; Halictidae
Source: RefSeq, a predicted model, not a curated record